GUCAGGAUGGCCAAGUGGUCUAAAGUGCCAGACUCAAGUUUUGGUCCUCAUGAGAUGGCGUGGGUUCAAAUCCCACUUUUGACA
Ipomoea nil (Japanese morning glory) is the source of this 84-nucleotide transfer RNA. It matches the Rfam family "tRNA". From Rfam's summary of the family: Transfer RNA (tRNA) molecules are approximately 80 nucleotides in length. Their secondary structure includes four short double-helical elements and three loops (D, anti-codon, and T loops). Further hydrogen bonds mediate the characteristic L-shaped molecular structure. tRNAs have two regions of fundamental functional importance: the anti-codon, which is responsible for specific mRNA codon recognition, and the 3' end, to which the tRNAs corresponding amino acid is attached (by aminoacyl-tRNA synthetases). tRNAs cope with the degeneracy of the genetic code in two manners: having more than one tRNA (with a specific anti-codon) for a particular amino acid; and 'wobble' base-pairing, i.e. permitting non-standard base-pairing at the 3rd anti-codon position. The record is from Rfam. NCBI's taxonomy places the organism in Eukaryota, Viridiplantae, Streptophyta, Magnoliopsida, Solanales, Convolvulaceae.